AAAGCACUCAUUCUCUUUUAAACAUUAUUAAUCGUGUAUAUUUUACACAGGAAGAGGAAUAUAUACUACCGAUAACUUUGACGUUUACGAUGGCGAAUGGAACAAUGAUUCUUUUGCCGACACUACAAUUCACAUUCGGUAUAAUAACAACGCUCAGUAUCGAGGUAGAGUCGAACCAAACGGUACAAUGAACGGUCCUGGAACGUAUACAUUUCCGGAUGGAUCUUCAAUUGAGGCUGAUUGGGUCAAUAACAAACCACUUACGAAUGUUAUCUACAGAGAACCUAGAGGGUUUGAAUGGACACUUGUAAACGUGACGGAUAAUGUAAAAAUAUUUAGAUCACUAAUUAUGAUGUAAGAUUAACAUUGCAAUCGUAAUUACAGGCGAUUUCUUUUUCUCCUGGAAAUCAUUUCUGGCGUGAUCUAUUAUCUGAUCAAAGCACCACGCAUUCUACCGAGUCUUUCGGCGAAGGGGAACUGAAUUAAUUCAAUGAAUGCACUUUUAUAGCCUAAUUGUUCUCGAUUAAUCCUCUUUGUAUAUGGAGGGUACCCUAAAUCGAGAUGUCGCGGGCCUAAACAGAGGAUUUUCGCUCAAACUAAACACAGUUUUCUUUUGUUCCUGUAUGAACUUCUCGUAUUCUCUUUUGUCUUUUAUGGAAGUCCAACACCUAUGCAAACACAAUAAACGUUUAUAAAAAGAAAUUGCAAUUUAAUCAUAGUUUACUCGAGAGAUACUUACUUCCAAAUCAGUAAACAAAUGAUUCCAAUAAAUAAUAUUACAAAGAUGAUCACAGAUGAAAUGACUGCUGUAUGUAUCGGAGUACUGCAAUACUAGAAUCGUCAGAAGAUCUCGAUGAAAAAAAGGGAGAAACGUAAUAAAAAUAUUCAGUACAAUAAGCUGUGUAUCUUACCUUGCUUCCGAUUUUCAAAGAAACAACAUUGUUUUGCUGGAACUCGUAUACGUACGGUAUGAUACAGAUCGUUUGAUCUUUUUUCGUUUUUACAACACAGUAGUGUUCGUUUCCUACGAAACACAAGAGAUAACAAUAUUCUAAUGAUAUCGAAAUUAAGAUUCAUUAAUCUAUCAAGUGGAUUGUUACCUUUGUCAACAGAGUCGACUAGUUUGGUUUCGUAAGAGGUUUCGUUAGUCUGGCAAAAUUCGUCCACAUUCUGAGGAUCUUCGAUGGUGGCAUUCACGCAAGGAUUGUAAAGAAUACAGAGAGCACUACCACCCGCGCUGAUCGACGAUUCGCAGUAAGUGCCCCGAUAAUAAGAACCGUCUGUCGCUGUAACAUUACAUCUGAACGGACACCAAUUUCAGUCGUUUACAAAAUUGAACAAUUUAACGAGAGUUAUGUAAAAACGCACGAACCGACAUUCUCCACAAUCGCAGUAGCCGUGACCAGCACAGACUUCCUUGCUUCCUGGUGCCACGCAGGGAUCAUCGGUCGAUGGACACUGGCAGGCAUUUCCUUGCCAGCCUUCGAUACAAUGGCAGACACCACAUUUACAAAUUCCUUUGUUCGAGCAUUCUAUACCAUCGAUCUAGAAGAGGAUUCAUUUGACUCGACGGUGCUUUUAAUCCGUUAAUAUCUUAUAAUGAUCACCUUGUCGCAUCCUGAGCAUUCGCAAAAUUGUCCCGUGUAGCCCUCGUCGCAAAGGCAGCUGCCGCAAACGCAUUCGCCCCUGUCGGAGCAAAGUUUCGUCGAGUUAGCGGCUAUACAUUGCAACCUGUUGUCCAUCGGCGAACUUUCGUCGCAAUCGCAUUUCUCGCCUGUUCAAUUCAUCGACAUUAAAGUUCCAUCCACGAAGAGGAUCUACACGAGUUACAGCUACUGUUCUUACCAGACCAACCGUUGUUGCACUUGCAAAUACCGCACUCGUCUGUUCCGUGUUCGCAGGGAGAGUCUUCGGAGUCCUUGCAAUUGCAACCGCAUGCCAGCUCAACUUCGACUACCACUUGAGAUACCUCAGAGGCCAGCGCAUCCUCGAUCACGAUUGUUUGUUUCUAAAGAACAUGACUCUCGUUUCUUGGACACUUGUCGAUCGACAGGACAACCUUGAAGUCGUACACCUGGCCUUCCUCUAUAUCCUCGCACUCGGAGGUGUUCCAUUCCAGUACGUUCGCGUUGCCGCAAUUAGAAAAAUAUUCAAUUCGCAGUGGAUACGAGGAAUUGUCGCGUAAGAUCACCUUCGAGGUGAUUUGAUGCAACGCGACCGUUGAUUCGUACUCGCUACGCCGAUCCUCGGUCACAGCGAAUAUCAAGUUGAUUUUGUGCUCCUGUAACAGCCUAGACAGCUCUCCCAAAGAACAGUAAUCGUACUUGGUAGCCAGAGAGUAUUGGCCACGCUUAUCGAGAUGACACUUGAAGUCCUGUCGCGUCACAGCACCGCCUAGCUAAUUAGAAACACAUCAGACACCUCACGCAUCCUGUCUGUGCCGAUUAUAUCGAUUCGCGUUACCUUUCCUUCGCCAGCAAAAUGCAGGUAUCCAUCGGUCGCUACCAGGAUGAUCUUACGUGCAUGCUGCACCCAGCCAACUUGUUCCUUGCAAAGGAUCGACUGCACAACUCCGUCCAACGCGCCCUCCAAGUUGUCCACGUUUCCAGUUACACGGCUUUCAUUUACCUGAAACUCGUCUUGAUUAAAAAUUUUCGAUUAUUUGAUUAUCUCGAGAUAGAUCAAACGCAUACUUCUUUGAUAAACCGUUGAAUAUCGUGAGUCAGUUCCAGGUGGUGUUGAAAGUCGUAAAGGGGCGAGCAAACAGCGUGCUCGCUCUUGCAAGGAUUAUCCUCGUGUCCUGGAAAUAUGUACGGCAUCAGGGGUUUGUCGGCGUAGCUGCCAAAGCCUAGGCGAAAAUUCUUGGUGAACGUGCCGAACGUUCGACUCAUGUCUCGUCCUAAACUGGCCAGGGUCUCUUUGUCGUCCUUCAUCGACCACGUCAGGUCCAUCAGGUACGAUUCAACGAAUUCUCGUCGUUAUCAUUAAUGAAUCGAGUAAACAAACGUACUUGGCUACCCGAUAACGGAUCGGAAUCUCGGUCUUGGAAUGGGACUGAAUCUUGACUUUUACUCUUUGGGGCCUCAACUGGAUCGGCGUACGUCCUGCUUCCAACACGUCCUGAAAGUCCGAGUUCUCCAGGAUGUCCAUCGAUCCUAGAGAAUUGCUGCGAAUUUCAUCCAAAGGGCAGCCGAAUGCUUUCAACCUUUCCGUUAGAACGACAUUUACCCAGUCACUGCACCACGAACAGGAGAAACUGGCCUGCAAACAAUUUUCACAGGUAUUUUGAGAAACGCACAACCUGAGGAUCUUCGUCUCCGCGCUUUCGGAAUCUUCCCAUUCGCGGCACAGAAGAAUCGCGAAGAAUACAGCUUUAAGAAGUCUCAUCUUCAAGAUCUCAGUCAACAUCCAGCUGCUCGAUCUUCUUUCGAUGAGAAUCUUUGGUCCAUUCUUGAGGAGAACUCGUCUACGUUCGCGAUUACUAUAAAUCUAAACGUUACUUCUGCAAUCGGCACCGAAUGGUACCUGAACGCGACUGUUCUCGUUAUCUAUGCUACGAUAACGACACGCGUCGUUCUCGUACGUGUUGGGAAAAAAAGACGAAAAAAAUGUGUGCCGAUUUGCUAUCUCUUCGUUACAGCGAAUCGACAUUUAUCUUCCACUUGAAUCCGAAUCAAUGGUCGCAAAUAGAGACCGGCACGAUGUCGCGCGCUCGGUUAGUAUUCAAUAUCUUCUCACGUUUUCAUCGAUCUUCUUCGUUUUCCAACGAUCGAUCGUUUCGCUCGUCGGCAAAGUAUGUAUGAUGUAAAACGACAGACACUUGGCGAAGCGAACGCGUUCGACUGGACGCAUCUCAUAGUCAUCGACGUCGUUACUAUUUUGCUGUGGACCUAAACGAUUCUAGCUGCCAGCUAACAUUGUCUCCUAUGUCACGUACAUGUGACAGAUAGACGAUAUCGAUGUUUCCAUGUACAGGGUGUUCCCGACAGAGAGUGAGUUUGAAAUUAUACAGCCACGAUUUCGUUUCAUCCGGUGGCCUAGUUCUCAAACGGUAACUAUGUUUCUCGUUUUGAAGAGCGAGGAAAGAAAGCUGCUCGUUUCGUUGUAAAUUGUAAUUCUGUCGGAAAGACACUUGUGCAAUGAACAGAUGGUUUCUUGCUUUUCUUUUUCUUGGUCACUUAUUGACUCGCGAUACCUGAUGUAUUAUUUGCAGUUAUCGCGAAACAGAUAUGUUUUCGUUUAUUGUUACGAGCAGCCUUGUAAGUAUUGUCAAUGUUUUGCUACAAUGUUUGCAUACAUUUCAUUUCGCUUGAGCGUAUCUCAAUAAUGCGAUGACGAAUGUGGUAUCGUAACGCGAUAUCAUUAUUCCUGCAGCGAUGAUUGAAAAGAAUACUAACGAGUUAGAGUCGACGUAGACUAAUUAAGAUCUGUCAGUACGAAUGAAUUACUUACAUUAGACAGAAGUUAAAAUGAAAUGGAGGAAAACUGUGCUAUACUCUUCUGAAGGAUUUUUAAACACGUAUAGAUAAAGAAAACGAUAGAAAAACAUGUCAAGUUAUUCGUUCCAAUACGAUUGCAAUGCAAUGUUUAUGCAAUUUAUAUCCGAAGCGUAUGUUGUUCCAUUAUCGCUGCAUUUCGUUGACACAGUAACGGGAAGAAAUAAAAAGCCGCGACUGUAUGUACUCUUCCUUGUAUAAAACGGGCGCGUUAUCAAUUGCUGACAUAAUCGUGAAAUUCUCGUUUCGAAUCGUACAUCUGCCUUUCCGCCUAUCUGCAUUUAUAUGUAUUUUCGUUUCGCGAUACAUUUAUGUUAACUACAAGAUCAUCGAUAUUUUGAAAAUUAUCACGAAUAUUAUUUAAAUAUAUUACUCGUCGUUUGAGAAAGGAUGCGCAUAAUUUUUGAAGGGAAGAAAGAAAAUAUGGAGCGAAGUUGAUCGGCAAACAAUCAACUCGAGGAGACGACGAAACCUCAGUGAAAGCCGGUCAUUUUGCAUUUCGUAGUUUCUAAUGCCUUUAUGCAUCGACAAUCGCGUAAUUAUACGAUUUCUCGAAUUAUUGGGUCGUUUACGAUCAAAUAUUUCAAACAGAAAAUGAUACAUUUACUUGUAAAUCUAGGCAAUGAGCUCGAGAUGCAUAAAUAAUAUGAUAAAAUAGAAAAUCCGAUUUUAUUACAAUGUUCAUUUAUAAAGUAAUCGGUCGUAUAUCACGAAAAAACAUAUGGCACUCUGUACUAAAUAAUAUCGUGUAUCCAUCACGAUGAGCUUGCCUCCGUAAAUCAUCAAGAUCGAUAGUUUAAAAUAGGUCAAUGUUUAAAAAUUACACAAACUUUAUUUUUCUUUCCUUCUGUUCCUGCUUGACAUCGGCGAGUCGUUUCACAACGAUUCGUUAAGUUGCUACAUACGGUUCGAUAAAUAUACACGCAUUUGUUCCUUUACAACCACAAAGUACAAAUUACAAAUAGAAAAAUCCUUACUCUACCCUUACGCUAUCCUUACGUUAGUGCUGAUCACAUAGUUGCCGAUUGUAUAAAUUGUACUUCUGUAGUUUGGACCAGUUGUUUUUUUUACUUGCAAUGUCACCAGCAACAAGUAACUCUAAAAUAUCAUUAUUAUUACAUAAAAACAUCGAAAUACACGAUGAAAGUUUGUGCAAUGCCUUCCAGGAGACAUAAUGCAUUUAAACAACAAGAUCCAACGAUUUUGAUAUACAUAUGCUUUUAAAACCUUCCUCUUUCUACUAAUGUCACUGUGUAUAUGUGCGUCUGUUGUUGCCUUUUUUAUCUGUUCUAACGAGGUUAACAAAAGAACACCAAAAUAUAAUUUUUUUACCAUUACUCUCUUUCGAUACGAGAUACGAGUCUCUCUAUUAGGCUGUCUCUCCAACAGGAUAGUGGAGCCCUGAUAAAGACAAUCGCUUUACCAACGCUACAUUUUUCCUUGUCUCGUUCUACGAAACAUGUCCCAAUAUUAUGCAAUAACCUGUCCGUGGACAGGUCUUCUUUUUUCUCUGACGUACAUACAGUAAAUUCUAACGUGCGUGUACCGCGUACAAAACGAUUUCUCUACACUUAAAACACGAUACGGGCGUAAACAACGUACCCUACUUGUUCCUUUCUUGCCGUUACGCUAAAUGAUAUGUAUUUUCUUUUUCUUUUUUACCAUGUUCUGUAUUCGAGAAAAAAAAAA
Non-coding RNA from Osmia lignaria (orchard mason bee), 6185 nucleotides. NCBI's taxonomy places the organism in Eukaryota, Metazoa, Arthropoda, Insecta, Hymenoptera, Megachilidae. The record is from RefSeq and is a predicted model, not a curated record.